This is a non-coding RNA of Styela clava, 739 nucleotides long. Lineage: Eukaryota; Metazoa; Chordata; Ascidiacea; Stolidobranchia; Styelidae. The record is from RefSeq and is a predicted model, not a curated record.
UCAAUGUUCCAUUUUUUACAGAUCCGUCGGUUAUAUUAAUCUAUAGUAUCCACCCUCGUAGGCCUAGUUUUAGUAGCAUUACGAAUUCGCUCCCUUUACAGAGAUGUUUUCAAAACAAAAUACUGUUCUACUAGUGAUUCUUGCUCUUCUGGCUACAGCGAUUAUCGCAGACGCAAAGCCUAGCAAGAACAACAAGUCCAACAAUCCUGAUUCCAGUGAUGAUAAGAAACACAAGUCGACAGAUGAUGGCACUUUCACGGCAAAGACGGGAGUGCAAAACUAUGUGGCCAAGUGUUGGAUGUAUUGUCUUCGCAAAAACCUGUAUACCUUCUAUCUGAGGUGCCAAAAUGUACAAGAUAAAACUACGUGCAUGUAUUGCAGAUAUUGGUUGAGAUGUCCAAGCGGCUAUGGGUAUUUUUAAGAGGUUGAUGUUGUUACAACUGCUACCAGCCAUUUCCAGAGUGUUCCACAGUCCCAACCGAAGAUACUUGGGGCAACACUUAUUUUGUAUUGUAUGGAAUGUGAUAUGAUUGAAGGGGAAGAUGAAGAUACCUUGAAACAUUUGCAAAUUUGUAUACCGGUACUUCUAUCGCAUUAGAAGAAACUUUUGUGAACAUAAACUUUGAAUCAUCCUCAUUAGGAAAAUAUUGUUGACACCAUUUCAUUUCGUUUUUGCUUGCACAAUCGUGGGUUUUGUGUGUAUUUUGAUAUAAUAAACAUUCAUAUUUGCACCUUUGUA